AGUGAACGCUGGCGGCAGGCCUAACACAUGCAAGUCGAGCGGCAGCGCGUCCGACCACCCUCGGGUGGUCGGAUGGCGGCGAGCGGCGGACGGGUGAGGAAUGCAUCGGAAUCUGCCUCGUUGUGGGGGAUAACGUAGGGAAACUUACGCUAAUACCGCAUACGACCUACGGGUGAAAGUGGGGGACCUUCGGGCCUCACGCGAUGAGAUGAGCCGAUGCCGGAUUAGCUAGUUGGCGGGGUAAAGGCCCACCAAGGCGACGAUCCGUAGCUGGUCUGAGAGGAUGAUCAGCCACACUGGAACUGAGACACGGUCCAGACUCCUACGGGAGGCAGCAGUGGGGAAUAUUGGACAAUGGGGGCAACCCUGAUCCAGCCAUGCCGCGUGUGUGAAGAAGGCCUUCGGGUUGUAAAGCACUUUUGUUGGGGAAGAAACCGGCCGGGUU
Molecule: ribosomal RNA, 445 nt
Filed under: uncultured Lysobacteraceae bacterium
Lineage: Bacteria; Pseudomonadati; Pseudomonadota; Gammaproteobacteria; Lysobacterales; Lysobacteraceae
Description: bacterial SSU rRNA
Rfam family: Bacterial small subunit ribosomal RNA
Source: RNAcentral